UACGGGGGGAGCAAGCGUUGUUCGGAUUUACUGGGCGUAAAGGGCGCGUAGGCGGUCGUGACAAGUCACUUGUGAAAUCUCCGGGCUUAACUCGGACGGUCAAGUGAUACUGUCGGACUAGAGUACAGAAGGGCAACUGGAAUUCUCGGUGUAGCGGUGAAAUGCGUAGAUAUCGAGAGGAACACCUGCGGCGAAGGCGGGUUGCUGGGCUGAUACUGACGCUGAGGCGCGAAGCCAGGGGAGCGAACGGG
RNAcentral lists this ribosomal RNA (251 nucleotides) under uncultured bacterium. RNAcentral's name for it is "partial 16S ribosomal RNA". It matches the Rfam family "Bacterial small subunit ribosomal RNA", at positions 524 to 776 of the family's 1533-position model. The record is from RNAcentral.